Molecule: ribosomal RNA, 253 nt
Filed under: uncultured Lachnospiraceae bacterium
Lineage: Bacteria; Bacillati; Bacillota; Clostridia; Lachnospirales; Lachnospiraceae
Description: partial 16S ribosomal RNA
Rfam family: Bacterial small subunit ribosomal RNA
Source: RNAcentral
UACGUAGGGGGCAAGCGUUAUCCGGAUUUACUGGGUGUAAAGGGAGCGUAGACGGUGAUGCAAGUCAGAAGUGAAAGCCCGGGGCUCAACUCCGGGACUGCUUUUGAAACUGUGUGACUGGAGUGCAGGAGAGGUAAGCGGAAUUCAUGGUGUAGCGGUGAAAUGCUUAGAUAUCAUGAAGAACUCCGAUCGCGAAGGCAGCGUACCGGCUCCACACUGACGCUGAGGCACGAAAGCGUGGGUAUCGAACAGG